This 235-nucleotide ribosomal RNA is filed under the name uncultured bacterium. RNAcentral describes it as "partial 16S ribosomal RNA". It matches the Rfam family "Bacterial small subunit ribosomal RNA", at positions 99 to 334 of the family's 1533-position model. The record is from RNAcentral.
CGCACGGGUGAGUAACACGUAUCCAACCUGCCGUCUACUCUUGGACAGCCUUCUGAAAGGAAGAUUAAUACAAGAUGGCAUCAUGAGUCCGCAUGUUCACAUGAUUAAAGGUAUUCCGGUAGACGAUGGGGAUGCGUUCCAUUGGAUAGUAGGCGGGGUAACGGCCCACCUAGUCUUCGAUGGAUAGGGGUUCUGAGAGGAAGGUCCCCCACAUUGGAACUGAGACACGGUCCAA